Molecule: ribosomal RNA, 231 nt
Filed under: uncultured bacterium
Lineage: Bacteria
Description: partial 16S ribosomal RNA
Rfam family: Bacterial small subunit ribosomal RNA
Source: RNAcentral
UGAGUAACCUGCCCUUAACUCUGGGAUAAGCCUGGGAAACUGGGUCUAAUACCGGAUAUGACUCCUCAUCGCAUGGUGGGGGGUGGAAAGCUUUAUUGUGGUUUUGGAUGGACUCGCGGCCUAUCAGCUUGUUGGUGAGGUAAUGGCUCACCAAGGCGACGACGGGUAGCCGGCUGAGAGGGUGACCGGCCACACUGGGACUGAGACACGGCCCAGACUCCUAGGGAGCAG